Molecule: antisense RNA, 72 nt
Filed under: Amycolatopsis saalfeldensis
Lineage: Bacteria; Bacillati; Actinomycetota; Actinomycetes; Pseudonocardiales; Pseudonocardiaceae
Description: ASpks TB sRNA
Rfam family: ASpks TB sRNA
Source: Rfam by way of RNAcentral
CUUGAUCGAGCCCAGCCACAGCGGGGCGCCCGGGCGGUCCUGGCCGUAGGUCGCCAGCACCGCCUGGGCCUC